Molecule: non-coding RNA, 24 nt
Filed under: Arabidopsis thaliana (thale cress)
Lineage: Eukaryota; Viridiplantae; Streptophyta; Magnoliopsida; Brassicales; Brassicaceae
Source: RNAcentral
UUCAUCAAGGUGGUCGAGUGGAUC